Molecule: ribosomal RNA, 116 nt
Filed under: Neogale vison (American mink)
Lineage: Eukaryota; Metazoa; Chordata; Mammalia; Carnivora; Mustelidae
Source: RNAcentral
GUCUACGGCCAUACCACCCUGAACGCGCCCGAUCUCGUCUGAUCUCGGAAGCUAAGCAGGGUCAGGCCUGGUUAGUACUUGGAUGGGAAACAUUGGGAUUCAAAUCACUAUGUUUG